Molecule: transfer RNA, 74 nt
Filed under: Cordylochernes scorpioides
Lineage: Eukaryota; Metazoa; Arthropoda; Arachnida; Pseudoscorpiones; Chernetidae
Description: tRNA-Thr
Rfam family: tRNA (bases 9-65)
About the family: Transfer RNA (tRNA) molecules are approximately 80 nucleotides in length. Their secondary structure includes four short double-helical elements and three loops (D, anti-codon, and T loops). Further hydrogen bonds mediate the characteristic L-shaped molecular structure. tRNAs have two regions of fundamental functional importance: the anti-codon, which is responsible for specific mRNA codon recognition, and the 3' end, to which the tRNAs corresponding amino acid is attached (by aminoacyl-tRNA synthetases). tRNAs cope with the degeneracy of the genetic code in two manners: having more than one tRNA (with a specific anti-codon) for a particular amino acid; and 'wobble' base-pairing, i.e. permitting non-standard base-pairing at the 3rd anti-codon position.
Source: RNAcentral
GAACAGAAAGCCUAGUGGACAUGGCAUCUGCCCGGUAAGCAGAACACUUUGGGUUCGAUUCCCAUCCCUGGACA